AUCAUCACUUGCAAAGUGUCUGGGGUCUUUGGCUGGAGUCUGCUACUCAUGUCUGAAUAUGGCUAAAGGAGUGACUUGGCUUUUCUAGGCUCCAGUUCUUUAAAUACUAAAUAAGAGCAACAUAGUGGACAACUAGAUAUCCAACCACGUAACUUGGUGACUUGGAAGUUCUUGUGUCUAUGCUUCAUGGAUGGGAAUAGUUAGUGAAUCAAACUCUGGCAGUAGAAGAGAACAUAGUGUGCCCUACGACAGACACAGCAGGAAGGCCUGGGAUGAGUGGAGUGAUCAAACACCAAGGCAGGGACAAGGGAUCUUCAUGAAAGAGGGGACUCCUGCACGUCUCAGUGUUCAAAGCUAGCAUCAUGGCAGAGGAACAUCGGCUUCUUCAUGGUGCUUCCAGCAGAGACUUUCUUUCUCUAAGACAGAUGGAUUUGCCUUGGAUCUUCAAGAACCAAAGGAUGAGCAUCCACAGGUUUUCAAGUGCUAGCACACAGAGAAACAGGCUCUGUAGUAUUCGGUGCUAGCCUUUCUGUCCCUAAAGCUGUAUGGUUUUUUCCAUCUGCAACAUUGGUCUUUCAGCAUGUUGAAGAGCUCUCUGGAUGCCCAGGACUUCAAACAUACAAAUGCAUGAUUGACUGUUCCAACCCUUUACUCAUCAAGGGAUGUUCCAUCAACCUUCUAAGCAUUCUAUAUUAAUGACAUUUUAUUCUCAACAUUUUAUUCUCAUUUUAUUUGUUUGAUACAACAGACAACUGACUCCUCACUUCCAUGUUACAGAUAUAGAAGGUGAGAGGAUAAACACAAGCAGGGGAAAGGUGUUGCAACAG
RNAcentral lists this long non-coding RNA (827 nucleotides) under Mus spicilegus (steppe mouse). Its description in RNAcentral is "lncRNA (ENSMSIG00000015065.1)". Lineage: Eukaryota; Metazoa; Chordata; Mammalia; Rodentia; Muridae. The record is from RNAcentral.